This 565-nucleotide ribosomal RNA is filed under the name uncultured bacterium. RNAcentral describes it as "bacterial SSU rRNA". It matches the Rfam family "Bacterial small subunit ribosomal RNA", at positions 338 to 916 of the family's 1533-position model. The record is from RNAcentral.
CCUACGGGAGGCAGCAGUGGGGAAUUUUCCGCAAUGGGCGAAAGCCUGACGGAGCAAUACCGCGUGAGGGAAGACGGCCUAUGGGUUGUAAACCUCUUUUCUCAGGGAGGAACUCAAUGACGUUACCUGAGGAAUAAGCAUCGGCUAACUCCGUGCCAGCAGCCGCGGUAAGACGGAGGAUGCAAGUGUUAUCCGGAAUCACUGGGCGUAAGGCGUCUGUAGGUGGCUUAACAAGUCAACUGUUAAAUCUUGAAGCUCAACUUCGAAAUCGCAGUCGAAACUGUUAGGCUAGAGUAUAGUAGGGGUAAAGGGAAUUUCCAGUGGAGCGGUGAAAUGCGUAGAGAUUGGAAAGAACACCGAUGGCGAAGGCACUUUACUGGGCUAUUACUGACACUCAGAGACGAAAGCUAGGGUAGCAAAUGGGAUUAGAUACCCCAGUAGUCCUAGCCGUAAACAAUGGAUACUAGAUGUUGGGCAGAUCGACCUGUUCAGUAUUAAAGCUAACGCGUUAAGUAUCCCGCCUGGGAAGUAUGCGCGCAAGCGUGAAACUCAAAGGAAUUGACGG